GCCAAACAUCCGUCAGAUUAAGGAGAGGAAGAGGAGGAAGUGGGCCCAGGAGGCCCAACUCAGGCCCUCCAGGAGCCACCGACCCAAUCAUCAUCCAGCUCCUCGUCUGCUGGACCCACGACGUCCACCGCUAGUGGACUUCAUGGAGUCAUCAGCAGCGACAGCACGGCGCACUCUGGUCUCCAUCCUCCAGAGACCAGAACGGCGUCUCCAGAGCCCCCAGGAAAUGUGAUUCAAAGUCGUGUCGUCAUAGAGUUGUGUGUUUUGUUGUUCUAAUGUAUUGGUUCAUUGUUGUCGUUGCCUUUUAAAGUAACAUAAUGUAACAAUUGUACCUUAAAAUAACAGCUUGAAAGAA
Molecule: long non-coding RNA, 355 nt
Organism: Pseudoliparis swirei
Lineage: Eukaryota; Metazoa; Chordata; Actinopteri; Perciformes; Liparidae
Exons: 2
Source: RefSeq, a predicted model, not a curated record